GGAUUUAGUGUGGGACUGGUGAACGGCGACCUACCGAGCAACGGAACUGUUGGAUAAUCAGUGAAACAUGGUAGAGACAAUAUCACCUUCUUGAAUCCUUCUCAACAACAGAAAAACAAAAACUGGUCAGAAGUGGGGGGAAUAAAAAUGCAACCAACUACAGUGCAACAGCAAACAAAAAGAAGGGACUGACAUCACCCUGCUUCAAUCAUGCAGAUCACUCUGGGGAGCCCAAGUCUCUCUGCUGCCUACUUCAGCUUUGGUCAAGUUAUGGUGACCUCUCAAAAAGGAUUUGUGAACUGAGAUGAACCUG
Molecule: long non-coding RNA, 313 nt
Organism: Oreochromis aureus
Lineage: Eukaryota; Metazoa; Chordata; Actinopteri; Cichliformes; Cichlidae
Exons: 3
Source: RefSeq, a predicted model, not a curated record